GGAGGGGUGUCCGAGCCCGGUUUAAGGAGACGGUCUUGAAAACCGUUGAACCCUGAGUGGUUCCGUGGGUUCGAAUCCCACCCCCUCCGCCA
RNAcentral lists this transfer RNA (92 nucleotides) under Peptococcaceae bacterium. RNAcentral describes it as "tRNA-Ser". It matches the Rfam family "tRNA". Rfam says of the family: Transfer RNA (tRNA) molecules are approximately 80 nucleotides in length. Their secondary structure includes four short double-helical elements and three loops (D, anti-codon, and T loops). Lineage: Bacteria; Bacillati; Bacillota; Clostridia; Eubacteriales; Peptococcaceae. RNAcentral also lists the same sequence under 1 other name. The record is from RNAcentral.